CACAGAAAACAGCAUUUGCAAAUUCUUACCAGGAAAUGCCAACUCAGGAAAACAGUUCCUAUUAAAAGCUGAACUGAGAUACAUCCUUUGUGAAAAUUCAGCAGGGAAAUUUUCUGAAUUCCAUAACUGUAGAGACUACUUGCUGCAGAUACAAAAAUAUACAAAAAUAUUUCCUCACUGUAUGUUAAGCUUACGAUGAUGACUAUAUGUUAAAUUUACAGUGAUGGUGAUGAAUGGAAAGCACAAUUUCUCUUCUAGUGGAUAUUGCAAAAUUUUGACACACAUUUAUUCUCCCAGACUGGAACAUGACUGUGAUAGAAAGCUUAAUGUAGAACAUAUUCAUAAAGAAAGGUGGUUUUUUUGUUUGUUUGUUUGUUUGUUUUUUUAAAGUAUUUGAAAUUGCUUUCUUUCUAUAGCUCAGAUGAAAACAUUAACAUUUUAUUUUGGGAAUGUGUAGAUUCACAAGGCUUCAUUCCUUAGUGGUACAAACCUUUGUGCAAAUGGCAAUGACUCCUUGUCUUCUGGCAGCUAUUCUUGGUAGCACUGCCAUGUCACUGGGAGUGUAGCACAUCCUGUGUCAGAGGGGUCAUUCUGUCUUAGGAGUUGUCAGAGCCACAGCUAUGUUCAUCGAGGAGAAUGAGAAUCUCAGAAUAAUAGCUAUAUAUAUAGACACGGUGGAAAUCUGAUUAACAAUAAAUGUUAAUCCCCAAGUGGAACAAACUUAUGCCUAGUUGUGUUUUGUGCUAUUCUAGUGCAGUCCAAUGUCAUGCAGCUGUACCAGCAAUGGAAGAAAUAUGGCGACAAUUAUGUGGGAUGUUCUUUGGAGUUAAACUUUCUAUUUGGCAGAGAGAUGUUCUUCUUGAGCUGAAAGAACUGUCAAGCCUGGGGAGUGUAUUUUACAGCCUCGUACACAACAGGACUCACAAGCAUUAGCCCAUCAAACUCAUAAUUGUGUGAAAAAGAGCAGGAAGAGAAAAGAGGAGAAAACAGGAAAGGAAAUAAAAAGGAGGAGUAAGGAAGGAUGUAAGUCA
Molecule: long non-coding RNA, 1031 nt
Filed under: Anser cygnoides (Swan goose)
Lineage: Eukaryota; Metazoa; Chordata; Aves; Anseriformes; Anatidae
Description: lncRNA (ENSACDG00005012955.1)
Source: RNAcentral